RNAcentral lists this transfer RNA (73 nucleotides) under Halobacteriales archaeon. Its description in RNAcentral is "tRNA-Asn". It matches the Rfam family "tRNA". Rfam says of the family: Transfer RNA (tRNA) molecules are approximately 80 nucleotides in length. Their secondary structure includes four short double-helical elements and three loops (D, anti-codon, and T loops). Further hydrogen bonds mediate the characteristic L-shaped molecular structure. tRNAs have two regions of fundamental functional importance: the anti-codon, which is responsible for specific mRNA codon recognition, and the 3' end, to which the tRNAs corresponding amino acid is attached (by aminoacyl-tRNA synthetases). tRNAs cope with the degeneracy of the genetic code in two manners: having more than one tRNA (with a specific anti-codon) for a particular amino acid; and 'wobble' base-pairing, i.e. permitting non-standard base-pairing at the 3rd anti-codon position. Lineage: Archaea; Methanobacteriati; Methanobacteriota; Halobacteria; Halobacteriales. The record is from RNAcentral.
GCCUUCAUAACUCAGUUGGUAGAGUGCCUCGCUGUUAACGAGGAUGUCCCAGGUUCGAGCCCUGGUGGAGGCG